AGGACGAACGCUGGCGGCGUGCUUAACACAUGCAAGUCGAACGGAAAGGCCCUUUCGGGGGUACUCGAGUGGCGAACGGGUGAGUAACACGUGGGUGAUCUGCCCUGCACUUUGGGAUAAGCCUGGGAAACUGGGUCUAAUACCGAAUACACCUUGCUGGCUGCAUGGCCUGGUGGGGGAAAGCUUUUGUGGUGUGGGAUGGGCCCGCGGCCUAUCAGCUUGUUGGUGGGGUGAUGGCCUACCAAGGCGACGACGGGUAGCCGGCCUGAGAGGGUGUCCGGCCACACUGGGACUGAGAUACGGCCCAGACUCCUACGGGAGGCAGCAGUGGGGAAUAUUGCACAAUGGGCGCAAGCCUGAUGCAGCGACGCCGCGUGAGGGAUGACGGCCUUCGGGUUGUAACCUCUUUCAGUAUCGACGAAGCGCAAGUGACGGUAGGUACAGAAGAGCACCGGCAACUACGCUCCAGCAGCCGC
Molecule: ribosomal RNA, 476 nt
Filed under: uncultured bacterium
Lineage: Bacteria
Description: SSU rRNA
Rfam family: Bacterial small subunit ribosomal RNA
Source: RNAcentral